This 342-nucleotide small nuclear RNA is filed under the name Heterocephalus glaber (naked mole-rat). RNAcentral describes it as "7SK RNA". It matches the Rfam family "7SK RNA". From Rfam's summary of the family: 7SK was discovered as an abundant small nuclear RNA in the mid-70s but a possible function has only recently been suggested. Two independent studies have found that 7SK RNA binds the CDK9/cyclin T complex (known as elongation factor P-TEFb). The record is from Rfam by way of RNAcentral. Lineage: Eukaryota; Metazoa; Chordata; Mammalia; Rodentia; Bathyergidae.
GGAUGUGAGGGCGAUCUGGCUGCGACAUCUGUCACCCCAUUGAUCGCCAAGGUUGAUUCCGCUGAUCUGGCUGGCUAGGCGGGUGUCCCCUUCCUCCCUCACUGCUCCUUGUGCGUCCCUCCCGAAGCUGCGCGCCAGGUCGAAGAGGACGACCACCCCCGAUAGAGGAGGGCCGUUUCCUCCGUCAAGGGUAUACGAGUAGCUGCGCUCCCCUGCUAGAACCUCCAAACAAACUCUCAAGAAAUCAACCAAUAACGAAUUCUGGCCGGGCUGUGGGGAGAAAGGAACCCUUCUCCAUUGUUGGUGGGAAUGCAGACUGGUGCAACCACUGUGGCAAUGAAU